RNAcentral lists this transfer RNA (110 nucleotides) under Caudoviricetes sp. RNAcentral describes it as "tRNA-Leu". Lineage: Duplodnaviria; Heunggongvirae; Uroviricota; Caudoviricetes. The record is from RNAcentral.
GGGCGGGUAUCUCAUCUGGAUAGAGGAACGGUAUUUAUCGAGUCUUGACAAAAGACUCAAACAGCAAUUUUUCUUAUGGUUAGUCGAUGGUUCGAAUCCAUCCCCGCCCA